UGUGCCCAGAUGGGAUUAGCUUGUUGGUGAGGUAACGGCUCACCAAGGCGACGAUCCCUAGCUGGUCUGAGAGGAUGACCAGCCACACUGGAACUGAGACACGGUCCAGACUCCUACGGGAGGCAGCAGUGGGGAAUAUUGCACAAUGGGCGCAAGCCUGAUGCAGCCAUGCCGCGUGUAUGAAGAAGGCCUUCGGGUUGUAAAGUACUUUCAGCGGGGAGGAAGGUGUUGUGGUUAAUAACCGCAGCAAUUGACGUUACCCGCAGAAGAAGCACCGGCUAACUCCGUGCCAGCAGCCGCGGUAAUACGGAGGGUGCAAGCGUUAAUCGGAAUUACUGGGCGUAAAGCGCACGCAGGCGGUCUGUCAAGUCGGAUGUGAAAUCCCCGGGCUCAACCUGGGAACUGCAUUCGAAACUGGCAGGCUUGAGUC
RNAcentral lists this ribosomal RNA (430 nucleotides) under Salmonella enterica. RNAcentral's name for it is "bacterial SSU rRNA". It matches the Rfam family "Bacterial small subunit ribosomal RNA", at positions 226 to 648 of the family's 1533-position model. The record is from RNAcentral. Lineage: Bacteria; Pseudomonadati; Pseudomonadota; Gammaproteobacteria; Enterobacterales; Enterobacteriaceae.